RNA transcript from Carya illinoinensis, 1722 nucleotides. It is a transcript of the gene named AT-hook motif nuclear-localized protein 19-like, with no coding region annotated. NCBI's taxonomy places the organism in Eukaryota, Viridiplantae, Streptophyta, Magnoliopsida, Fagales, Juglandaceae. The record is from RefSeq and is a predicted model, not a curated record. The transcript has 2 exons.
CCUCUCUCGUUCACUUCUCAUUUCUCAAAGCAAGAUAUAGAGAGAUUUUAGUAAAAGAACCAACAUCUUUCCUGUUCCUUAACACACACUCCCACCGUCAAAGCCACCCAAUCAAAGACAAAGAUGCACCAAAAAGCCCCAAGAGUUCCAUAGAGAUACACUCCUUAAAUUUUAUAUCUUAUCUCUUUUCUUGUUCAUCCUUUUGGCUUCUCUUCGUUUUUUUUUUUAAUAUUAAUUCUGUUUCUCAUCCCCACUUUAAUCUGUGUUUUCUUUCGUAAAGAUCGUUCUUCGGGUUCAAGCUUUCGAAUCACUUUUGGGUAGUUUGCUUGUUUAGGCCUUCUUCACUUUAGAAACCCAAGCAAACAUCUUGAUCUUUCUUGGGUUUUGACUUGUGUGAGUUUAGAUUUAGAUGCAUGACCUAAACAACUAUUUCUUCGGGUGAUUUUUAGUGUUGAUUUUGAUCAUCGUCUCUCUUUUUUAGCUUGUGCUUGAGUUGAGAUCAUGGCAAACCGGUGGUGGACCGGGCAGGUGGGUCUAGCUGGACUGGAAAACUCGUCAAGUUCAUCUCCAAUGAAACAACCAGAUCUGGGAAUAUCUAUUAACGAUGACAGUGGAACCGGAAACAGCAGAGGUGGGAACGAAGAAGACGAAGAAAGGGAGAACAGUGAGGAGCCGAGAGAAGGCGCAAUCGAAGGAGCCACUCGAAGGCCGAGAGGCCGCCCACCUGGCUCCAAAAACAAGCCGAAACCGCCUAUUUUUGUCACCCGAGACAGCCCUAAUGCGCUUCGUAGCCAUGUCAUGGAAAUAGCUAGUGGAGCUGAUGUUGUAGAUAGUGUGGCUCAAUUCGCGAGAAGGCGGCAGAGAGGUGUUUGUGUGCUCAGCGCCAGCGGCACCGUCACAAACGUUUCGCUUCGCCAGCCGUCUGCGCCUGCUGCUGCUGUCAUGGCACUUCAAGGCCGCUUCGAGAUUCUCUCACUCACCGGUUCGUUUCUGCCCGGACCCGCACCCCCCGGUUCCACCGGACUCACCAUCUAUCUAGCCGGGGGACAAGGUCAGGUGGUGGGAGGCAGUGUCGUGGGCCCGCUUGUGGCUGCUGGGUCGGUGAUGGUGAUGGCGGCGACAUUUUCGAAUGCCACCUACGAAAGAUUGCCUCUGGAGGAUGAAGACGAAAGUGGUGGCCCUGCCGGACAGGGACAUGAGAUGACCAGUGGUGGUGGUGGAAUCUCGCCGCCGCCGGGAUUCAGAAGUGGAGGAGGGCAGCAGCAGCAGCAGCAAGGUGGAAUGGGUGAGCAUCCACAGAUGCCGGUCUAUAAUUUGCCUCCAAAUUUGCUUCCCAACGGUGGGCAGUUGAACCAUGAGGCUUAUAAUCCUUGGGCGGGUCAUGGCCGGCCACAAUAUUAGAGUUAGGGUUUGUGAAGAUGAUCAGAUGGGUGAGAAAGAUCGAGUAAUUAAGACACAAUCAGUAGUGAAGAAACUGAAAUUUAGAGAAGAUGAUGAUCAAGGAGCUGGGCAUGCAUGCAUGGUGUUGUUCAUGAGGUCCUUUCUUCAAUUCCUUUUUUAUUUUCUUUCUAUUAAUCCCUGAUGUUCAUUGUUCAUGAUCAUCGUCUACUCUCGAGUACCAGUACUGUUUUGUUUUUCUCUUUGAUCUCGUGCUCAUUCUCGAUGAUCCAUUAAUUAAUAUGACUGUGGAUAUAUCUUUAUAACUUCGAUCUGAUCUCUUUC